UAACGCGUGAGGAACCUGCCUUCCAGAGGGGGACAACAGUUGGAAACGACUGCUAAUACCGCAUGACACAUGACCGUGGCAUCACGGACAUGUCAAAGAUUUAUCGCUGGAAGAUGGCCUCGCGUCUGAUUAGCUGGUAGGCGGGGUAACGGCCCACCUAGGCGACGAUCAGUAGCCGGACUGAGAGGUUGGCCGGCCACAUUGGGACUGAGACACGGCCCAGACUCCUACGGGAGGCAGCAG
RNAcentral lists this ribosomal RNA (243 nucleotides) under uncultured bacterium. Its description in RNAcentral is "partial 16S ribosomal RNA". It matches the Rfam family "Bacterial small subunit ribosomal RNA", at positions 111 to 354 of the family's 1533-position model. The record is from RNAcentral.